AACCGACUAAUGUUGAAAAAUUAGCGGAUGACUUGUGGCUGGGGGUGAAAGGCCAAUCAAACCGGGAGAUAGCUGGUUCUCCCCGAAAGCUAUUUAGGUAGCGCCUCGUGAAUUCAUCUCCGGGGGUAGAGCACUGUUUCGGCAAGGGGGUCAUCCCGACUUACCAACCCGAUGCAAACUGCGAAUACCGGAGAAUGUUAUCACGGGAGACACACGGCGGGUGCUAACGUCCGUCGUGAAGAGGGAAACAACCCAGACCGCCAGCUAAGGUCCCAAAGUCAUGGUUAAGUGGGAAACGAUGUGGGAAGGCCCAGACAGCCAGGAUGUUGGCUUAGAAGCAGCCAUCAUUUAAAGAAAGCGUAAUAGCUCACUGGUCGAGUCGGCCUGCGCGGAAGAUGUAACGGGGCUAAACCAUGCACCGAAGCUGCGGCAGCGACACUAUGUGUUGUUGGGUAGGGGAGCGUUCUGUAAGCCUGCGAAGGUGUACUGUGAGGUAUGCUGGAGGUAUCAGAAGUGCGAAUGCUGACAUAAGUAACGAUAAAGCGGGUGAAAAGCCCGCUCGCCGGAAGACCAAGGGUUCCUGUCCAACGUUAAUCGGGGCAGGGUGAGUCGACCCCUAAGGCGAGGCCGAAAGGCGUAGUCGAUGGGAAACAGGUUAAUAUUCCUGUACUUGGUGUUACUGCGAAGGGGGGACGGAGAAGGCUAUGUUGGCCGGGCGACGGUUGUCCCGGUUUAAGCGUGUAGGCUGGUUUUCCAGGCAAAUCCGGAAAAUCAAG
Molecule: ribosomal RNA, 776 nt
Filed under: Escherichia coli
Lineage: Bacteria; Pseudomonadati; Pseudomonadota; Gammaproteobacteria; Enterobacterales; Enterobacteriaceae
Description: partial 23S ribosomal RNA
Rfam family: Bacterial large subunit ribosomal RNA
Source: RNAcentral